RNAcentral lists this ribosomal RNA (468 nucleotides) under uncultured bacterium. RNAcentral describes it as "partial 16S ribosomal RNA". It matches the Rfam family "Bacterial small subunit ribosomal RNA", at positions 28 to 507 of the family's 1533-position model. The record is from RNAcentral.
GACGAACGCUGGCGGCGUGCUUAACACAUGCAAGUCGAACGGAAAGGCCCUGCUUGCAGGGUGCUCGAGUGGCGAACGGGUGAGUAACACGUGGGUGAUCUGCCCCUUACUUUGGGAUAAGCCUGGGAAACUGGGUCUAAUACUGGAUAGGACCAUGCUGUAGGUGGUGUGGUGGAAAGAUUAGUUUCGGUAAGGGAUGAGCUCGCGGCCUAUCAGCUUGUUGGUGGGGUAAUGGCCUACCAAGGCGUCGACGGGUAGCCGGCCUGAGAGGGUGGACGGCCACAUUGGGACUGAGAUACGGCCCAGACUCCGACGGGAGGCAGCAGUGGGGAAUAUUGCACAAUGGGCGCAAGCCUGAUGCAGCGACGCCGCGUGGGGGAUGACGGCCUUCGGGUUGUAAACUCCUUUCAGCCAUGACGAAGCCUUCGGGUGACGGUAGUGGUAGAAGAAGCACCGGCUAACUACGUG